Molecule: small nuclear RNA, 110 nt
Organism: Heterocephalus glaber (naked mole-rat)
Lineage: Eukaryota; Metazoa; Chordata; Mammalia; Rodentia; Bathyergidae
Source: Ensembl
AUAGAUUUCGAUCUCCUCUUAUAUAUACCAACAUUGGAACCAUACAGAGAAGAUUAGCAUGGACCCUAGGCAAGGAUAACAUGCAAAUUCAUGAAAUGUUCUUUGCUAUU